GUGGGGAAUCUUAGACAAUGGGCGCAAGCCUGAUCUAGCCAUGCCGCGUGAGCGAUGAAGGCCUUAGGGUUGUAAAGCUCUUUCAGCUGGGAAGAUAAUGACGGUACCAGCAGAAGAAGCCCCGGCUAACUCCGUGCCAGCAGCCGCGGUAAUACGGAGGGGGCUAGCGUUGUUCGGAAUUACUGGGCGUAAAGCGCACGUAGGCGGAUCAGAAAGUCAGAGGUGAAAUCCCAGGGCUCAACCUUGGAACUGCCUUUGAAGCUCCUGAUCUUGAGGUCGAGAGAGGUGAGUGGAAUUCCGAGUGUAGAGGUGAAAUUCGUAGAUAUUCGGAGGAACACCAGUGGCGAAGGCGGCUCACUGGCUCGAUACUGACGCUGAGGUGCGAAAGCGUGGGGAGCAAACAGGAUUAGAAACCCCUGUAGUCC
RNAcentral lists this ribosomal RNA (425 nucleotides) under uncultured bacterium. Its description in RNAcentral is "partial 16S ribosomal RNA". It matches the Rfam family "Bacterial small subunit ribosomal RNA", at positions 354 to 796 of the family's 1533-position model. The record is from RNAcentral.